This 497-nucleotide ribosomal RNA is filed under the name uncultured bacterium. RNAcentral describes it as "partial 16S ribosomal RNA". It matches the Rfam family "Bacterial small subunit ribosomal RNA", at positions 28 to 507 of the family's 1533-position model. The record is from RNAcentral.
GAUGAACGCUGGCGGCGUGCCUAAUACAUGCAAGUCGAGCGAACAGACGAGGAGCUUGCUCCUCUGACGUUAGCGGCGGACGGGUGAGUAACACGUGGAUAACCUACCUAUAAGACUGGGAUAACUUCGGGAAACCGGAGCUAAUACCGGAUAAUAUAUUGAACCGCAUGGUUCAAUAGUGAAAGACGGUUUUGCUGUCACUUAUAGAUGGAUCCGCGCCGCAUUAGCUAGUUGGUAAGGUAACGGCUUACCAAGGCGACGAUGCGUGGCCGACCUGAGAGGGUGAUCGGCCACACUGGAACUGAGACACGGUCCAGACUCCUACGGGAGGCAGCAGUAGGGAAUCUUCCGCAAUGGGCGAAAGCCUGACGGAGCAACGCCGCGUAAGUGAUGAAGGUCUUCGGAUCGUAAAACUCUGUUAUUAGGGAAGAACAAAUGUGUAAGUAACUAUGCACGUCUUGACGGUACCUAAUCAGAAAGCCACGGCUAACUACGUG